Molecule: ribosomal RNA, 497 nt
Filed under: uncultured bacterium
Lineage: Bacteria
Description: bacterial SSU rRNA
Rfam family: Bacterial small subunit ribosomal RNA
Source: RNAcentral
CGAACGCUGGCGGUGUGCUUCAUACAUGCAAGUCGAACGAGAAAGUCCCCUUCGGGGGGUGAGUAAAGUGGCGAACGGGUGCGUAACACGUGAGCAAUCUGCCUCAAAGCUGGGGAUAACCUUCCUAACGGGGGGCUAAUACCGGAUGUGUUUACCGGGUGGCAUCGCCUGGUGAAUAAAGAUGGCGUGCUGAGCGCUAUCACUUUGAGAUGAGCUCGCGGCCUAUUAGCUUGUUGGUGGGGUAAUGGCCUACCAAGGCGACGAUGGGUAGCCGGCCUGAGAGGGUGACCGGCCACAUUGGGACUGAGAUACGGCCCAGACUCCUACGGGAGGCAGCAGUAGGGAAUAUUGCGCAAUGGGCGAAAGCCUGACGCAGCAACACCGUGUGAGCGAUGAAGGCCUUCGGGUCGUAAAGCUCUGUCAGGUGGGAAGAAACCCGGUUGGUGGAGAAUAUCAACCGGCUGACGGUACCACCAGAGGAAGCUCCGGCUAACUCC